RNAcentral lists this ribosomal RNA (245 nucleotides) under uncultured bacterium. RNAcentral describes it as "partial 16S ribosomal RNA". It matches the Rfam family "Bacterial small subunit ribosomal RNA", at positions 524 to 768 of the family's 1533-position model. The record is from RNAcentral.
UACGUAGGGAGCGAGCGUUGUCCGGAUUUACUGGGCGUAAAGGGCGUGUAGGCGGGGCGGUGCAUCCUGGAGCAAAUCCGAUCGCUCAACGAUCGGUUCUUCUGGGAGAUGACCGCUCUUGAGGACAGGAGAGGAAAGUGGGAUUCCCGGUGUAGCGGUGAAAUGCGUAGAUAUCGGGAGGAACACCAGUGGCGAAGGCGACUUUCUGGCCCGUUCCUGACGCUGAGGCGCGAAAGCCAGGGGAG